GAUGAAGAACGCAGCGAAAUGCGAUAAGUAGUGUGAAUUGCAGAAUUCAGUGAAUCAUCGAAUCUUUGAACGCACAUUGCGCCCCUUGGUAUUCCAUGGGGCAUGCCUGUUCGAGCGUCAUUUGUACCUUCAAGCUUUGCUUGGUGUUGGGUGUUUGUCCUGAGGGACUCGCCUUAAAGUAAUUGGCAGCCAGUGUUUUGGUUUUGAAGCGCAGCACAAGUCGCGAUUCAAAGCUAUACGCCAGCUUCCACAAGCCUUUUUCACUCUUGACCUCGGAUCAGGUAGGGAUACCCGCUGAACUUAAGCAUAUCAAUAAGCGGAGGA
This 324-nucleotide unclassified non-coding RNA is filed under the name soil metagenome. RNAcentral's name for it is "partial contains 5.8S ribosomal RNA, internal transcribed spacer 2, and large subunit ribosomal RNA". The stretch from base 1 to 120 matches the Rfam family "5.8S ribosomal RNA", at positions 35 to 154 of the family's 154-position model. The record is from RNAcentral.